Molecule: transfer RNA, 86 nt
Filed under: bacterium
Lineage: Bacteria
Also listed under: 2 other names
Description: tRNA-Ser
Rfam family: tRNA
About the family: Transfer RNA (tRNA) molecules are approximately 80 nucleotides in length. Their secondary structure includes four short double-helical elements and three loops (D, anti-codon, and T loops).
Source: RNAcentral
GGAGAGGUGUCCGAGUGGUUUAAGGUGCACGCCUGGAACGCGUGUAUGGAUUAUGUCCAUCGCGGGUUCGAAUCCCGCUCUCUCCG